Molecule: transfer RNA, 83 nt
Filed under: Myxococcales bacterium
Lineage: Bacteria; Pseudomonadati; Myxococcota; Myxococcia; Myxococcales
Description: tRNA-Leu
Rfam family: tRNA
About the family: Transfer RNA (tRNA) molecules are approximately 80 nucleotides in length.
Source: RNAcentral
GUCACCGUGGUGGAACGGCAUACACGGCAGGCUGAGAACCUGCGCGCGAUUCGCGCAUGAGGGUUCAACUCCCUCCGGUGGCA